CCUACGGGAGGCAGCAGUUGGGAAUAUUGCACAAUGGGCGCAAGCCUGAUGCAGCCAUGCCGCGUGUAUGAAGAAGGCCUUCGGGUUGUAAAGUACUUUCAGCGGGGAGGAAGGGAGUAAAGUUAAUACCUUUGCUCAUUGACGUUACCCGCAGAAGAAGCACCGGCUAACUCCGUGCCAGCAGCCGCGGUAAU
RNAcentral lists this ribosomal RNA (194 nucleotides) under uncultured Escherichia sp. Its description in RNAcentral is "partial 16S ribosomal RNA". It matches the Rfam family "Bacterial small subunit ribosomal RNA", at positions 338 to 524 of the family's 1533-position model. The record is from RNAcentral. Lineage: Bacteria; Pseudomonadati; Pseudomonadota; Gammaproteobacteria; Enterobacterales; Enterobacteriaceae.